UCUUCAGAUGUAACACUUAAGGCUAUCCUC
Molecule: non-coding RNA, 30 nt
Filed under: Mus musculus (house mouse)
Lineage: Eukaryota; Metazoa; Chordata; Mammalia; Rodentia; Muridae
Source: RNAcentral